RNAcentral lists this ribosomal RNA (426 nucleotides) under uncultured prokaryote. RNAcentral's name for it is "bacterial SSU rRNA". It matches the Rfam family "Bacterial small subunit ribosomal RNA", at positions 355 to 796 of the family's 1533-position model. The record is from RNAcentral.
UGGGGAAUUUUCCGCAAUGGGGGCAACCCUGACGGAGCAACGCCGCGUGGGGGAGGAAUGUCUGUGGAUUGUAAACCCCUUUUCUCUGGGAAGAAGGACUGACGGUACCAGAGGAAUCAGCAUCGGCUAACUCCGUGCCAGCAGCCGCGGUAAGACGGAGGAUGCAAGCGUUAUCCGGAAUUAUUGGGCGUAAAGCGUCCGCAGGUGGCACUUCAAGUCUGCUGUCAAAGACCAGAGCUCAACUCUGGGCAGGCGGUGGAAACUGGGGAGCUAGAGUACGGUAGGGGUAGAGGGAAUUUCCAGUGUAGCGGUGAAAUGCGUAGAGAUUGGAAAGAACACCAGUGGCGAAGGCGCUCUACUGGACCUGUACUGACACUAAGGGACGAAAGCUAGGGGAGCGAAAGGGAUUAGAUACCCCCGUAGUCC